GACGGAGGGUGCAAGCGUUGUUCGGAAUUACUGGGCGUAAAGCGCGCGUAGGCGGACCUGCAAGUCGGGGGUGAAAGCCCGAGGCUCAACCUCGGAACUGCCUUCGAUACUGCGGGUCUCGAGUCCGGGAGAGGUGAGUGGAAUUCCUAGUGUAGAGGUGAAAUUCGUAGAUAUUAGGAAGAACACCAGUGGCGAAGGCGGCUCACUGGCCCGGUACUGACGCUGAGGCGCGAAAGCGUGGGGAGCAAACAGG
This 253-nucleotide ribosomal RNA is filed under the name uncultured bacterium. RNAcentral describes it as "partial 16S ribosomal RNA". It matches the Rfam family "Bacterial small subunit ribosomal RNA", at positions 524 to 776 of the family's 1533-position model. The record is from RNAcentral.